GACCUCAGUUCAGGUGAGAUUACCGGCUGAAUUUAAGCAUAUUACUAAGCCGAGGAAAAGAAACUAACAAGGAUUCCUUAGUAGCAGCGAGCGAACAGGGAAGAGCCCAGCGCUGAAUCCCCCGGGCCUCGCUCGGCGGGAAAUGUAGCGUUUGGGAGGGCCCGUCAACACGGCGACUCGCUCACUGGUUCAAGUCCAACUUGAAUGGGGCCACACAGAGGGUGACAGGCCCGUAGAGCAGGAGCGGUUGUCGUGUGGGUCUCUCCUUAGAGUCGGUUUGCUUGAGAGUGCAGACUUAAGUGGGUGGUAAACUCCAUCUAAGGCUAAAUAUGACCACGAGACCGAUAGCACACAAGUACCGUGAGGGAAAGGUGAAAAGAACUUUGAAGAGAGAGUUCAAGAGUACGUGAAACUGAAGUGGUGUAAACGGACGAGUUCGAAAAGUCCGAAUGGUGAAAUUCAAGCUUACCGUGCCGGUGGCCCUCGGGUUCAGAUGGCGUCGUCAGCUCGGGCUUCGGUUCGGGUCAUACGGCGUCACUCGUCCUGGGGGUAUCUGUCUGGUGCGGUGGGCUGCACUUCUCGCCUAGUAGGACGUCGCGACCCGUUGGGAUGUUCCGUUCACUGGCCCCUGGUGGAGCCCGCGCCGGAGCGUGGCCUUGUGCCGCGUUGCUGUUUGCACGGACCCGGGGUGACCUGAUCGGCGCCCGACGGUAUCAAAGCUUGGGAAGAGGCCGCACAGAGGAUGCGUUCGAUGGCCGUUUCGGCCUACACUCGGACAGGCCUGCACCCGGUCAG
This 795-nucleotide ribosomal RNA is filed under the name Frankliniella occidentalis (western flower thrips). RNAcentral's name for it is "eukaryotic LSU rRNA". It matches the Rfam family "Eukaryotic large subunit ribosomal RNA", at positions 1 to 632 of the family's 3401-position model. The record is from RNAcentral. Lineage: Eukaryota; Metazoa; Arthropoda; Insecta; Thysanoptera; Thripidae.